RNAcentral lists this ribosomal RNA (253 nucleotides) under uncultured bacterium. Its description in RNAcentral is "partial 16S ribosomal RNA". It matches the Rfam family "Bacterial small subunit ribosomal RNA", at positions 524 to 776 of the family's 1533-position model. The record is from RNAcentral.
UACGUAGGUGGCAAGCGUUGUCCGGAUUUACUGGGCGUAAAGAGCGCGCAGGCGGUCGUUCAAGUCGCGUGUGAAAGCCCCCGGCUCAACUGGGGAGGGUCACGCGAUACUGAUCGACUCGAAGGCAGGAGAGGGUAGUGGAAUUCCCGGUGUAGUGGUGAAAUGCGUAGAUAUCGGGAGGAACACCUGUGGCGAAGGCGGCCCCCUGGUUGGAUACUGACGCUGAUACGCGAAAGCGUGGGGAGCAAACGGG